This 56-nucleotide transfer RNA is filed under the name Typosyllis antoni. RNAcentral's name for it is "tRNA-Asp". The record is from RNAcentral. Lineage: Eukaryota; Metazoa; Annelida; Polychaeta; Phyllodocida; Syllidae.
AAGUUAGUUAAAAUAUAAUAUAAGGUUGUCAACCUUAAGUUGUAAUUAUACACUUU